Molecule: ribosomal RNA, 255 nt
Filed under: uncultured bacterium
Lineage: Bacteria
Description: partial 16S ribosomal RNA
Rfam family: Bacterial small subunit ribosomal RNA
Source: RNAcentral
CGUCUGAUUAGUUAGUUGUGGGGUAACGGCCUACCAAGACGACGAUCAGUAGCCGGACUGAGAGGUUGGACGGCCACAUUGGGACUGAGAUACGGCCCAAACUCCUACGGGAGGCAGCAGUCGGGAAUAUUGCGCAAUGGAGGAAACUCUGACGCAGUGACGCCGCGUGCAGGAAGAAGGUUUUCGGAUUGUAAACUGUUGUCGCGAGGGAAGAAGAAAGUGACGGUACCUCGUGAGAAAGUCACGGCUAACUAC